Long non-coding RNA from Oncorhynchus mykiss (rainbow trout), 1744 nucleotides. Lineage: Eukaryota; Metazoa; Chordata; Actinopteri; Salmoniformes; Salmonidae. The record is from Ensembl.
CUUCCCCCUGCUCCUCUCUGUGGUCUCCAGACUUCCCCCUGCUCCUCUCUGUGGUCUCCAGACUCCCCCCUGCUCCUCUCUGUGGUCUCCAGACUUCCCCCUGCUCCUCUCUGUGGUCUCCAGACUCCCCCCUGCUCCUCUCUGUGGUCUCCAGACUCCCCCCUGCUCCUCUCUGUGGUCUCCAGACUCCCCCCUGCUCCUCUCUGUGGUCUCCAGACUUCCCCCUGCUCCUCUCUGUGGUCUCCAGACUCCCCCCUCUCCUCUCUGUGGUCUCCUGACUUCCCCCUGCUCCUCUCUGUGGUCUCCAGACUUCCCCCUGCUCCUCUCUGUGGUCUCCAGACUCCCCCCUGCUCCUCUCUGUGGUCUCCAGACUUCCCCCUGCUCCUCUCUGUGGUCUCCAGACUCCCCCCUGCUCCUCUCUGUGGUCUCCAGACUCCCCCCUGCUCCUCUCUGUGGUCUCCAGACUUCCCCCUGCUCCUCUCUGUGGUCUCCAGACUUCCCCCUGCUCCUCUCUGUGGUCUCCAGACUCCCCCCUGCUCUUCUCUGUGGUCUCCAGACUCCCCCCUGCUCCUCUCUGUGGUCUCCAGACUCCCCCCUGCUCCUCUCUGUGGUCUCCAGACUCCCCCCUGCUCCUCUCUGUGGUCUCCAGACUUCCCCCUGCUCCUCUCUGUGGUCUCCAGACUCCCCCCUGCUCCUCUCUGUGGUCUCCUGACUCCCCCCUGCUCCUCUCUGUGGUCUCCAGACUCCCCCCUGCUCCUCUCUGUGGUCUCCAGACUCCCCCCUGCUCCUCUCUGUGGUCUCCAGACUCCCCCCUGCUCCUCUCUGUGGUCUCCAGACUCCCCCCUGCUCCUCUCUGUGGUCUCCAGACUCCCCCCUGCUCCUCUCUGUGGUCUCCAGACUCCCCCCUGCUCCUCUCUGUGGUCUCCAGACUCCCCCUGCUCCUCUCUGUGGUCUCCAGACUCCCCCCUGCUCCUCUCUGUGGUCUCCAGACUCCCCCCUGCUCCUCUCUGUGGUCUCCAGACUCCCCCCUGCUCCUCUCUGUGGUCUCCAGACUCCCCCUGCUCCUCUCUGUGGUCUCCAGACUCCCCCCUGCUCCUCUCUGUGGUCUCCAGACUCCCCCCUGCCCCUCUCUGUUCUCUCCAGAGUCCCCCCUGCUCCUCUCUGUGGUCUCCAGACUCCCCCCUGUUCCUCUCUGUGGUCUCCAGACUCCCCCCUGCUCCUCUCUGUGGUCUCCAGACUCCCCCCUACUCCUCUCUGUGGUCUCCUGACUCCCCCCUGCUCCUCUCUGUGGUCUCCAGACUCCCCCCUGCUCCUCUCUGUGGUCUCCUGACUCCCCCCUGCUCCUCUCUGUGGUCUCCUGACUCCCCCCUGCUCCUCUCUGUGGUCUCCUGACUCCCCCCUGCUCCUCUCUGUGGUCUCCAGACUCCCCCCUUCUCCUCUCUGUGGUCUCCUGACUCCCCCCUGCUCCUCUCUGUGGUCUCCAGACUUCCCCCUGCUCCUCUCUGUGGUCUCCUGACUCCCCCCUGCUCCUCUCUGUGGUCUCCUGACUCCCCCCUGCUCCUCUCUAUGGUCUCCUGACUCCCCCCUGCUCCUCUCUGUGGUCUCCUGACUCCCCCCUGCUCCUCUCUGUGGUCUCCUGACUCCCCCCUGCUCCUCUCUGUGGUCUCCUGACCCCCCCCUGCUCCUCUCUGUGGUCUCCUGACUCCCCCCUGCUCCUCUCUGUGGUCUCCAGACUCCCCCCUGC